UACGUAGGGGGCUAGCGUUGCUCGGAAUUACUGGGCGUAAAGGGCGCGUAGGCGGGUCGUUAAGUUAGAGGUGAAAGCCCAGGGCUCAACCCUGGAAUUGCCUUUGAUACUGGCGGCCUUGAGUAUGGCAGAGGUGUGUGGAACUCCGAGUGUAGAGGUGAAAUUCGUAGAUAUUCGGAAGAACACCAGUGGCGAAGGCGACACACUGGGCCAUUACUGACGCUGAGGCGCGAAAGCGUGGGGAGCAAACAGG
This 253-nucleotide ribosomal RNA is filed under the name uncultured bacterium. RNAcentral's name for it is "partial 16S ribosomal RNA". It matches the Rfam family "Bacterial small subunit ribosomal RNA", at positions 524 to 776 of the family's 1533-position model. The record is from RNAcentral.